UGCGUAGGUGGUUUUGUAAGCGCGGGGUGAAAGGCAAUAGCUCAACUAUUGUAAGCCUUGCGAACUGUAAGACUUGAGUGCAGGAGAGGAAAGCGGAACUCCUAGUGUAGCGGUGAAAUGCGUAGAUAUUAGGAGGAACACCAGUGGCGAAGGCGGCUUUCUGGACUGUAACUGACACUGAGGCACGAAAGCGUGGGGAGCAAACAGGAUUAGAUACCCUGGUAGUCCACGCCGUAAACGAUGAGCACUAGGUGUCGGGGCCGCAAGGUUUCGGUGCCGCAGUUAACGCAUUAAGUGCUCCGCCUGGGGAGUACGCACGCAAGUGUGAA
RNAcentral lists this ribosomal RNA (329 nucleotides) under uncultured bacterium. Its description in RNAcentral is "bacterial SSU rRNA". It matches the Rfam family "Bacterial small subunit ribosomal RNA", at positions 568 to 898 of the family's 1533-position model. The record is from RNAcentral.